GACGAACGCUGGCGGCGUGCUUAACACAUGCAAGUCGAACGGUGAAGCCCUUCGGGGUGGAUCAGUGGCGAACGGGUGAGUAACACGUGAGCAACCUGCCCCUGGCUCUGGGACAACCACUGGAAACGGUGGCUAAUACCGGAUACGACCCGCCUCGGCAUCGAGUGUGGGUGGAAAGUUUUUCGGCUGGGGAUGGGCUCGCGGCCUAUCAGCUUGUUGGUGAGGUGAAGGCUCACCAAGGCGACGACGGGUAGCCGGCCUGAGAGGGCGACCGGCCACACUGGGACUGAGAAACGGCCCAGACUCCUACGGGAGGCAGCAGUGGGGAAUAUUGCACAAUGGGCGAAAGCCUGAUGCAGCGACGCCGCGUGAGGGAUGACGGCCUUCGGGUUGUAAACCUCUUUCAGCUCCGAAGAAGCGAAAGUGACGGUAGGAGCAGAAGAAGCACCGGCUAACUACGUG
This 462-nucleotide ribosomal RNA is filed under the name uncultured bacterium. RNAcentral's name for it is "partial 16S ribosomal RNA". It matches the Rfam family "Bacterial small subunit ribosomal RNA", at positions 28 to 507 of the family's 1533-position model. The record is from RNAcentral.